Molecule: ribosomal RNA, 256 nt
Filed under: uncultured bacterium
Lineage: Bacteria
Description: partial 16S ribosomal RNA
Rfam family: Bacterial small subunit ribosomal RNA
Source: RNAcentral
CGAAGGGGGCUAGCGUUGCUCGGAAUCACUGGGCGUAAAAGGGCGCGUAGGCGGCGUUUUUAAGUCGGGGGUGAAAGCCUGUGGCUCAACCACAGAAUGGCCUUCGAUACUGGGACGCUUGAGUAUGGUAGAGGUUGGUGGAACUGCGAGUGUAGAGGUGAAAUUCGUAGAUAUUCGCAAGAACACCGGUGGCGAAGGCGGCCAACUGGACCAUUACUGACGCUGAGGCGCGAAAGCGUGGGGAGCAAACAGGAUU